CGGCGGCCGACUGAGAUGUGUCGGUCGGACGUAUUCUUCCCGACCGACUGGACCUGGGAGCCUGAUGGCCGACUCACAUAAGACUCGCCGACCAACGGAGGGGCCCGACGCCACUCAGCUAGCCACCGACCUAGGGUCGGUCGACUCCUCCGAUCGCCGUACAGCCGCCAGAGUUUGUCAGUCCUGACAGCCGCAUGCGGCAC
This 203-nucleotide long non-coding RNA is filed under the name Elaeis guineensis (African oil palm). Its description in RNAcentral is "long non-coding RNA (EGUI_LNC080500)". Lineage: Eukaryota; Viridiplantae; Streptophyta; Magnoliopsida; Arecales; Arecaceae. The record is from RNAcentral.